CGGACGAACGCUGGCGGCGUGCCUAAUACAUGCAAGUAGAAACGCUGAAGGAGGAGCUUGCUUCUCUGGAUGAGUUGCGAACGGGUGAGUAACGCGUAGGUAACCUGCCUGGUAGCGGGGGAGUAACUAUUGGAAACGAUAGCUAAUACCGCAUAACAGUAGAUGUUGCAUGACAUUUGCUUAAAAGGUGCAAUUGCAUCACUACCAGAUGGACCUGCGUUGUAUUAGCUAGUUGGUGGGGUAACGGCUCACCAAGGCGACGAUACAUAGCCGACCUGAGAGGGUGAUCGGCCACACUGGGACUGAGACACGGCCCAGACUCCUACGGGAGGCAGCAGUAGGGAAUCUUCGGCAAUGGACGGAAGUCUGACCGAGCAACGCCGCGUGAGUGAAGAAGGUUUUCGGAUCGUAAAGCUCUGUUGUAAGAGAAGAACGAGUGUGAGAGUGGAAAGUUCACACUGUGACGGUAUCUUACCAGAAAGGGACGGCCAACUACGUG
This 499-nucleotide ribosomal RNA is filed under the name uncultured Streptococcus sp. RNAcentral describes it as "bacterial SSU rRNA". It matches the Rfam family "Bacterial small subunit ribosomal RNA", at positions 27 to 507 of the family's 1533-position model. Lineage: Bacteria; Bacillati; Bacillota; Bacilli; Lactobacillales; Streptococcaceae. The record is from RNAcentral.